RNAcentral lists this long non-coding RNA (362 nucleotides) under Physcomitrium patens. RNAcentral describes it as "long non-coding RNA (PPAT_LNC012977)". The record is from RNAcentral. Lineage: Eukaryota; Viridiplantae; Streptophyta; Bryopsida; Funariales; Funariaceae.
UAUGUAUUUCUAAUUAAGAGAUCAAGAGGCAUGUAAAAUUUUAAGUAAGAUCAAUAAUUUAGUCAAUAGAUAUUGAGGUUCUAAAAUUAUCCUAGGGUUGAUUUGAAUUGAUUAUAUUUUAAUUAGGAUUUGAUUAGGAAUUGAUUAGGAUUUGGUUUAGGAUUUAGAAUUUAAUUAGAAUUUGAUAUAGGAUUUAGAAUCUAAUUAGGAUUGAUUUAGGAUUAAGGAUCUAAUUAAGAUUGAUUUAAGAUUUAAGAUUUUUUUGAAAUUCUUUAGGAUUAUUUUAGGAUUUUUUAAAGAUUUCUUUGAGGAUUCUUUUGGAUUUUAUAAGGAUUUUUUAAAGGUUUUUUAAAUAUAUUUUU